Molecule: non-coding RNA, 282 nt
Organism: Odocoileus virginianus texanus
Lineage: Eukaryota; Metazoa; Chordata; Mammalia; Artiodactyla; Cervidae
Source: RefSeq, a predicted model, not a curated record
CAAAGAAUCUGAGAGCUUAUUUUACUUGCAAGCUAACAAAUUGAUGUCAGAGUUCCAUAGAUGCAAGUAGAAGACACAACACUCUAAGGAUUCCAAUACACAGGAGAGCCGCUGUUUUCCCAUCCAAGACAUCCUAAAGUUAUCUGUAAAGGAGACUUUGGCCCCAGGACAAUGCCUCAACCACCAAAGGACCUGUAGUAAACAUUUGUGGAUGCUCUGUUUAUACCCAACACUGAACUAACUGCUAAAGAACAUGCGAGAAUGCAUAGGACGCAGAUAAGU